AUGGAUUUUGCAAAGACACACAUAAAGGAAGCUUUGACACAUAAGCCAAACCUCCUAGGUCAAGUGGUAGCUAUUGUUGAUAAGAGGUGGGAUAAUCAGAUGGAACAAAAGCUACAUGGGGCUUCUUUGUUCUUGAACCCAAAUAAAUUCUUUGCCAUUAAGGAGUCCAACAAAAGACAAGCUUCCCGUCUCCGUUCAAUGUUCAAUGAUGUGCUAUGGAAGAUGGUGCCCGAUGAUGAGCAGCAAAGAACUAUAAGUAGGGAAGCUGACGACUAUGAGCUGGGGAGUGAAUGUUUCUCGAAGCCAUUGUUAAUUAAAGUAUGUGACAAAAAAACCCUCGUAAGCAUAAAUUUUAUGGCAGCUUGUGUCUUCUUGUUCAGCUCAAUUACUCCACUAAUUGCUAGUUUUUGUGGCCUUAUCUUUAAUGUGGGACUUCUUGGUUUUGUAGUUCUUUGGUGGAAUGCUUAUGGUGGCCUUGCUUUUGACCUCCAAACUCUUGCAAAGCGAAUCAUUAGUCUAUGUUGUUCAGCAUCCGGCUGCGAGCGCAAUUGGAGUGUAUUUGCUCAUGUAAGUAGCCAUUAG
RNAcentral lists this ribosomal RNA (582 nucleotides) under Triticum aestivum (bread wheat). Its description in RNAcentral is "partial small subunit ribosomal RNA". Lineage: Eukaryota; Viridiplantae; Streptophyta; Magnoliopsida; Poales; Poaceae. The record is from RNAcentral.